Molecule: long non-coding RNA, 1841 nt
Filed under: Homo sapiens (human)
Lineage: Eukaryota; Metazoa; Chordata; Mammalia; Primates; Hominidae
Description: HSALNT0321421
Source: RNAcentral
CACAGCCUGUUGCCAGAGGACUGCUCUAAUUUGGUAUCUGGCUCCAGCUCACCAUCCUCUGACCUUCUUGGAUUCAGCUGGGACUCUGAUUUCCUUGGUUCUACAUUGGCUAUUGCUACCACUCUGGCUCUGAGUGGAGCUUCCUCAGUCUGCCUCUCACCCUCCUACUGCUGCCGAAGGAUACAUUUCUGAAAAUGUGCUGCAGAUGUGAAUAUUUUCUGCAAGUGCCUGUGGCUGACCCAGGCUACUGACGCAGUCAGCCUGCUCAGCACUGCUUCUCUGGAACAAACCCUUGACCCCUCUUCCUUUCUCUCAACUUGGACUUUCAGCCCUUUCUAUCCCACUUUAUCCUGAAGCUCUGCUUGGCUGGCUUAGCUGUUAAUUUUUUUUUUUUUUUAAUUCCAUAGCUUUAACUCUUCUAAGAAUUCUGUCAUUGUCUCUUUUGAUAAUUAAGUACUCUCCACCAAUGUAGUCCCCUAGGAGGGGAGGGGUUCAGGAGAGAGGAGAAAAAAACAGAAGAGAAUUAACAUGAAUUAAGCAAAGAUUCUGGGCCAGGCACCAAAGCUAAGGAGCUUCAUACGUUAUCUCUUUAAUCUCCUCAAAACUUUGAGAAUGGAUCAUUGUUAGCUCAUUUUACAAACAGGAAAAUGAAAGAUUUGAAAGAUGCUCCUUUUGUCUGGAAGCUUCAGCUAUAUGCCAUCUCAAGUUCCAUCUUCCUGGAAAACCCUUGUAAAUCCACCACUGUUAGGCUUAGCCAUCAUCUCCUUGAUGAAGCCUAUCCCUGACCUCUGCCCAAGACUAUGGAAAUAAUGUUAGACAAAAAGCAAAUUCAAACGAUUUUCUUAUUCAAAUUCAAAAUGGGUCAUAAAAUAGCAGAGACAACUCGCAACAUCAAAAAUGCAUUUGGCCCAGGAACUGCUAAUGAAGAAAUGUACAGUGCAGUGGUGGUUCAAGAAGUUUUGCAAAGCAGAAGAGAGCCUUGAAGAUGAGGAGCAUAGUGGCCAGCCAUCAGAAGUUGACAACAACCAACUGAGAGCACUCAUGGAAGCUGAUCCUCUUACAAACACAUGAGAAGUUGCCCAAGAACUCAACGUCAACCAUUCUAUGGUUGUUCAUCAUUGAAGCAGAUGGAAAGGCAAAGAAGCUCGAUAAAUGGGUGCCUCACGAGCUCAGCAAACAUAAAAUAAAACCAUCAUUUUGAAGUAUCAUCUCUUAGUCUACACAACAAUAACGAACCAUUUCUCCAUCGGAUUGUGCAAUGAAAAGUGAAUUUUGUAUGACAACUGGUGAUGACCAGCUCAGUGAUUGGAUCAAGAAAGAAGCUCCAAAGUCCCAAAGCCAAACUUGUACCAAAAAAGGUCAUGGUCACUGGGAUCUGCUGCCGGUUAUGAUCCUCUACAGCUUUCUGAAUCCCAGUGAAACCAUUACAUCUGAGAAGCAUGCUCAGCAAAUCGAUGAGAUGCACUGAAAACCGCAAUGCCUGCAGCCGGCAUUGGUCAACAGAAAGGGCCCAAUUCACCACGACAAUGCUUGACGGCACAUCACACAACCAAUGCUUCAAAAGUUGAAUGAAUUGGGCUACAAAGUUUUGCCUCAUCCACCAUAUUCACUUGAUCUCUCGCCAACCAGCUACCACUUCUUCAAGCAUCUCAACAACUUUUUGCAGGGAUAAUGCUUCCACAACCAGCAGGAUGCAAAAAAUGCUUUCCAAGAGUUUGUCGAAUCCCAAAGCUCGAAUUUUUAUACUGCAGGAAUAAACAAACUUAUUUCUUGUUGGCAAAAAUCUGUUGAUUGUAAUGGUUCCUAUUUUGAGUAAUAAAGAUGUGUUUGAGCCCAGUUAU